GAGAAAUCCAUUCUUAACAGUUAAUUAACCACUGCAGGAAGGCUUAGAGUGGGCAUGUUAGAUACUAUGAAAACAGUACAAUGAAAACUGGGAAUCAACUACUGCCUAGCCUGUCAGCUGGUUUGAAUACAAGACACUAAUUGCUAAGUGACUGUGCCUUCACCAGAUGCCCAAGGGCUCAUUAACCUCAGUGGGAUAACAGACCCAUUAACAGGCUCGUCUAUGGAUUAAUCAUUCAAGGCUUAUGGAGACCUACAUUCUUCCACUGUAGGUUAAAUUAAUUCCAUACCUUCAUAUUCCCAAAGAAUCUUUGGGAAUACCUUUUUUUUAUAACCUCUCUCCUAUCAGAGCUCAACCAGGCUUUAGGAGGCUAGCAAGGAACUUUAUUGUGGCUUAAUUAGUGUGUUGAAAAUGAGCUCGAAGUGCUUUUUUUAAUUAUUAUUUUUUUAUUAUUAUUUUUUUUUUCCCUGAAUAAAAAAAAGGAUGUAAAUUGUGUUUUGGUAGGUUUGUUUGUUUGUUUGUGAUGUUUGUUUGAAAUAUUGGCUGAAAUUCCAAUGACACUCUGAAAAUAUGUCUGAGAUUGCUCUUCUGCUGUUUCUCAGAUCUAGAAUUGGUUUCUGAGAACAUAGUGGUGAAGAGUCAAUCUGGACAACCAGUGCGGGCUGUUCUUUCAUCUGAGCUGCCAGGCUGAAGCAACAGCUGAGAAGAGAAGUCUCCUAGGAGGUAAAACACUACCAAAUAGCUUGGCUAAUUCUGCCACUUCAAAAGCUUUAAAAACUUCCUUACCUGAGGGAACACUGGAUUUUAUAAGUAAUCUAGUUUUAGGAAGUGUGGCUCUGUGAGAAAGGGCCUCAUUAUGCCAUGUGCUGAGUAGGAGGCAAAGCUCCUGUCUAGC
RNAcentral lists this long non-coding RNA (895 nucleotides) under Anser brachyrhynchus (Pink-footed goose). RNAcentral describes it as "lncRNA (ENSABRG00000003617.1)". Lineage: Eukaryota; Metazoa; Chordata; Aves; Anseriformes; Anatidae. The record is from RNAcentral.